CCUACGGGUGGCAGCAGUGAGGAAUAUUGGUCAAUGGACGAGAGUCUGAACCAGCCAAGUAGCGUGAAGGAUGACUGCCCUAUGGGUUGUAAACUUCUUUUAUAUGGGAAUAAAAUGUUCCACGUGUGGGAUUUUGUAUGUACCAUAUGAAUAAGGAUCGGCUAACUCCGUGCCAGCAGCCGCGGUAAUACGGAGGAUGCGAGCGUUAUCCGGAUUUAUUGGGUUUAAAGGGUGCGUAGGUGGAAUGUUAAGUCAGUUGUUAAAAUUUGGGGCUCAACCGUAAAAUUGCAGUUGAAACUGGCAGUCUUGAGUACAGUAGAGGUGGGCGGAAUUCGUGGUGUAGCGGUGAAAUGCUUAGAUAUCACGAAGAACUCCGAUUGCGAAGGCAGCUCACUGGACUGCAACUGACACUGAGGCUCGAAAGUGUGGGUAUCGAACAGGAUUAGAUACCCGGGUAGUC
Molecule: ribosomal RNA, 460 nt
Filed under: uncultured bacterium
Lineage: Bacteria
Description: partial 16S ribosomal RNA
Rfam family: Bacterial small subunit ribosomal RNA
Source: RNAcentral